RNAcentral lists this ribosomal RNA (254 nucleotides) under uncultured prokaryote. Its description in RNAcentral is "partial 16S ribosomal RNA". It matches the Rfam family "Bacterial small subunit ribosomal RNA", at positions 525 to 777 of the family's 1533-position model. The record is from RNAcentral.
ACGGAGGAUCCAAGCGUUAUCCGGAAUUACUGGGCGUAAAGAGUUGCGUAGGUGGCAUCGUAAGUCGGUAGUGAAAGCGUGGGGCUCAACCCCAUACACAUUACCGAAACUGCGAAGCUAGAGGACGAGAGAGGUAACUGGAAUUCCUAGUGUAGGAGUGAAAUCCGUAGAUAUUAGGAGGAACACCGAUGGCGUAGGCAGGUUACUGGCUCGUUCCUGACACUAAGGCACGAAAGCGUGGGUAGCAAACGGGA